ACUUGGUAGUGUAAGAGUCACCCAGAUGGUACUGGUUUUGCAAGCAUAAAGGGGUCAUGGAAAGCAGCAAUGGCUUGGCACUGUGAGAAGCCAGGAGAGGCAUUGGUGAAGCUGCAGCCCGACAGCAGUUGAAGACUCAGUGUUGAAGUGGUCAUACAGAGAAGUUGAGGCUUGGCACCAUGAAGAAAGCCUAGGAGAAGCUAUUGGGGAAAGUGUAGCCCAGGUGUAGCAGAAGACCCCAGCAUUAUGGAGAUCCCAGCACCAUGGGAUGACUACCCAGAACAGCAGCAGCCGUGGAGUGGAACCUGCUUUGAGCUUAAAAGACAAGCUGUGCAUUCUACAGAGGGUGGAGCCAGAGAACUGACCCAGGCCCUAUGGAGCAGCCCGGAAGAUCUUGAGUGAAUCUCAGAUAAUCAGACAUCAAGAUAUUUUCACUUUUGGAGUUUGGUUUUUCUUUGUUCAGAUUGUGACUGUGUCCUGGUUCUUCACUUUUGAAGUGAGAAGAAAUAUUCCCAAAAUGUGAACAGAAGGAGAAAUCUGCAAUGGUGACGACCAGAAGACUAGCAUACCUAUGCACAUACAAGCACAUUUUUAAUGAACUUGUGUUCAAUCAAAUGUUCCAGAAUUACAAGAACCGUUCAGGCUUUGGGAAGCAAGUAUCUCUACCAUACUAAGGAUGAAGUCACAGGUCAGGAAGAUGAUGGUGAAAGAUGAGAAGAAAUGAGAAACGAUGGAGUCUCUAAGACAGAGGCAGUCAAGUCCUGUGUCCACACAGCUUGUGUAUCCCAGCAGACUUGGAUGUAACUGCUGCUCUCACACAGGCAUCUCUUGCUUCUUAACCUGCAGACUUCCCUUUCUUAUUAUCUCUGAUGUCCAACUAUUCCAGCUCUGCACCUUCCAACUGCUGCUCUUGAUUUUCAGAAGUGACCUUUGUUUCUCUGUAAGGCUAAGUGAACUGGUUUGUUUACGUCAACCCACUCAUUGGAUUUUAGCACAAUGGUUACAGGUUUGGGUACAGAGAUUCUGAUCAUCAAGCCAAUCAUCUUUUUCCUGCCAACUUCUGAGAAGAGGAUAUUCAGCAUUUUUUUCAACUCCUUCCUUUCCACUUCACUUUUGUAUUGUUGUUACAAAACUCAUCCCAGGGGGGAAAGGCCAGGAAUGUGCUGCACUGUAACUGUGAUUAUGCUGGAUCUAAGAAGGGAGCCCCUUUGCACCCUGAAAAAAGAAAAAGUCCUUGUCUAUGUCUAGUGACCUUGUCAGUUUCUUCUCUCCUGCUCAUUUCCAAACAUUGCCAACAUUUCAUGUUUUAGUAUUUUUUUCCCCUGA
Molecule: non-coding RNA, 1326 nt
Organism: Peromyscus maniculatus bairdii (prairie deer mouse)
Lineage: Eukaryota; Metazoa; Chordata; Mammalia; Rodentia; Cricetidae
Source: RefSeq, a predicted model, not a curated record